Molecule: ribosomal RNA, 497 nt
Filed under: uncultured bacterium
Lineage: Bacteria
Description: partial 16S ribosomal RNA
Rfam family: Bacterial small subunit ribosomal RNA
Source: RNAcentral
GAUGAACGCUGGCGGCGUGCCUAAUACAUGCAAGUCGAGCGAACAGACGAGGAGCUUGCUCCUCUGACGUUAGCGGCGGACGGUUGAGUAACACGUGGAUAACCUACCUAUAAGACUGGGAUAACUUCGGGAAACCGGAGCUAAUACCGGAUAAUAUAUUGAACCGCAUGGUUCAAUAGUGAAAGACGGUUUUGCUGUCACUUAUAGAUGGAUCCGCGCCGCAUUAGCUAGUUGGUAAGGUAACGGCUUACCAAGGCGACGAUGCGUAGCCGACCUGAGAGGGUGAUCGGCCACACUGGAACUGAGACACGGUCCAGACUCCUACGGGAGGCAGCAGUAGGGAAUCUUCCGCAAUGGGCGAAAGCUUGACGGAGCAACGCCGCGUGAGUGAUGGAGGUCUUCGGAUCGUAAAACUCUGUUAUUAGGGAAGAACAAAUGUGUAAGUAACUAUGCACGUCUUGACGGUACCUAAUCAGAAAGCCACGGCUAACUACGUG